AUUGAACGCUGGCGGCAGGCCUAACACAUGCAAGUCGAGCGGAUGAAGGGAGCUUGCUCCUGGAUUCAGCGGCGGACGGGUGAGUAAUGCCUAGGAAUCUGCCUGGUAGUGGGGGAUAACGUCCGGAAACGGGCGCUAAUACCGCAUACGUCCUGAGGGAGAAAGUGGGGGAUCUUCGGACCUCACGCUAUCAGAUGAGCCUAGGUUGGAUUAGCUAGUUGGUGGGGUAAAGGCCUACCAAGGCGACGAUCCGUAACUGGUCUGAGAGGAUGAUCAGUCACACUGGAACUGAGACACGGUCCAGACUCCUACGGGAGGCAGCAGUGGGGAAUUUUGGACAAUGGGCGAAAGCCUGAUCCAGCCAUGCCGCGUGUGUGAAGAAGGUCUUCGGAUGGUAAAGCACUUUAAGUUGGGAGAAAGGGCAGUAAGUUAAUACCUUGCUGUUUUGACGUUACCAACAGAAUAAGCACCGGCUAACUUCGU
This 483-nucleotide ribosomal RNA is filed under the name uncultured bacterium. Its description in RNAcentral is "partial 16S ribosomal RNA". It matches the Rfam family "Bacterial small subunit ribosomal RNA", at positions 30 to 506 of the family's 1533-position model. The record is from RNAcentral.